GUCCUCGGCACGUUCAUCAUGGCGCCGACGGAGGAACCCGCAGCUGCCACGCUAGCUUCGCCACCGCCACCGCCACCGCCACCUCACUUCGUUAUCGUCCCCCUCGUGGCGCAGGGCCAUACCAUCCCCAUGGUCGACUUCGCCCGCCUCCUCGCCGAGCGCGGCGCGCGCGUGAGCCUCGUCACGACGCCGGUGAACGGCGCCCGGCUGCGCGGCGUCGCCGGCCAGGCCGCGCGCGCCAAGCUCGCCCUGGAGCUCGUCGAGCUCCCCUUCCCGACGGGCGUCGACGGCCUGCCCCCGGGCAUCGAGAACGUGGACCAGGUCACGGACCAC
This 333-nucleotide long non-coding RNA is filed under the name Setaria italica (foxtail millet). Its description in RNAcentral is "long non-coding RNA (SITA_LNC000109)". Lineage: Eukaryota; Viridiplantae; Streptophyta; Magnoliopsida; Poales; Poaceae. The record is from RNAcentral.